CAGUCGCCACGGUAAUACGAAGGGUGCAAGCGUUACUCGGAAUUACUGGGCGUAAAGCGUGCGUAGGUGGUGGUUUAAGUCCGUUGAGAAAGCCCUGGGCUCAACCUGGGAAUUGCAGUGGAUACUGGAUCACUAGAGUGUGGUAGAGGAUAGUGGAAUUUCCGGUGUAGCAGUGAAAUGCGUAGAGAUCGGAAGGAACAUCUGUGGCGAAGGCGACUAUCUGGGCCAACACUGACACUGAGGCACGAAAGCGUGGGGAGCAAACAGGAUUAGAUACCCGCGUAGUCCCUGUCUCUUAUAC
RNAcentral lists this ribosomal RNA (301 nucleotides) under uncultured bacterium. RNAcentral describes it as "partial 16S ribosomal RNA". It matches the Rfam family "Bacterial small subunit ribosomal RNA", at positions 509 to 807 of the family's 1533-position model. The record is from RNAcentral.